CGAAGAUUCCCUUCGAUUUCCCUGAGAUACCACCAUCAGAUCCUGGUUUCCUUAUCAUGGUACCAACCUUGAGAUAUCUCUUUUCCAUUAAAAGAAGAAUCAUCACAAUCGGUACACCCAGUAAAAAAAGACCAGGUAAAAAAA
This is a long non-coding RNA of Melitaea cinxia (Glanville fritillary), 144 nucleotides long. RefSeq lists it as uncharacterized. The transcript has 3 exons. Lineage: Eukaryota; Metazoa; Arthropoda; Insecta; Lepidoptera; Nymphalidae. The record is from RefSeq and is a predicted model, not a curated record.